GACGAACGCUGGCGGCGUGCUUAACACAUGCAAGUCGAACGGAAAGGCCCUGCUUUUGUGGGGUGCUCGAGUGGCGAACGGGUGAGUAACACGUGAGUAACCUGCCCUUGACUUUGGGAUAACUUCAGGAAACUGGGGCUAAUACCGGAUAGGAGCUCCUGCUGCAUGGUGGGGGUUGGAAAGUUUCGGCGGUUGGGGAUGGACUCGCGGCUUAUCAGCUUGUUGGUGGGGUAGUGGCUUACCAAGGCUUUGACGGGUAGCCGGCCUGAGAGGGUGACCGGCCAAAUUGGGACUGAGAUACGGCCCAGACUCCUAAGGGAGGCAGCAGUGGGGAAUAAUGCACAAUGGGCGGAAGGCUGGUGCAGGAACGCCGCGUGCGGGAAGACGGCCUUCGGGUUGUAAAACGGUUUCGCCUGUGAAGAAGGGUGAGUGGAGGGAAUGGGUAAAGAAGGAACCGCUAAAUAACGU
Molecule: ribosomal RNA, 468 nt
Filed under: uncultured bacterium
Lineage: Bacteria
Description: partial 16S ribosomal RNA
Rfam family: Bacterial small subunit ribosomal RNA
Source: RNAcentral